CUAGUAUGCUCUCGGUUUCGGCCGGGCAUCGUGGCUCGUUUUUGGAAUCAAUGGUCAGGCCGGCCGGAAUCUGGCGUGAUCAAAUCUUAUGCGGAACGCCGCCGCCUUCGUUUCUCUUUCUUCGCAUGGACGUAACGCUCAUUCGAUGCUGUGGUCGUUCGCACGGCAGCGACAUCGAGACGGGCCUGUAGCUCAGGUGGUUAGAGCGCACGCCUGAUAAGCGUGAGGUCGGUAGUUCAACUCUACCCAGGCCCACCAACUUUACGCCGCCUGCGCGCAGGUGCGGCAGCGAUAGGAAGGGUGAGCCCGGGCGUGUUAAGUAUCUGCCGAUCAAUCUGGGCGGUUUCGUCGGACGACGACAACGAUGCGACGACAACGAUGCCCGGUUGAAGCAAGGUUUCGGGGCCAUAGCUCAGCUGGGAGAGCGGUAGCUUUGCAAGCUUCAGGUCGUCGGUUCGAUCCCGACUGGCUCCACCAUUAUUCUGGCGCUACCGCUCGCGACGAGCGCUCGCUGCUUGAGCGCGGUUGAUUGAACGCGGGCCUUCUGAGACGCGCCAAUGACAUGUCCAUGUUGAAGAGAAUACAGUUUCGUGCUGCGGCCUCGGGCCCGGCAUGAUGAUCACCGACAUCGUGAAGAGGGGAUAAGCCUGGAAACUUGAACCCGCUCCAAUUUGGUUCAAGUUGGCCUUACCCGGGCUAUUGGACGG
This 707-nucleotide transfer RNA is filed under the name uncultured bacterium. RNAcentral's name for it is "partial 16S-23S ribosomal RNA intergenic spacer". The stretch from base 182 to 255 matches the Rfam family "tRNA". The record is from RNAcentral.